Molecule: ribosomal RNA, 530 nt
Filed under: uncultured bacterium
Lineage: Bacteria
Description: bacterial SSU rRNA
Rfam family: Bacterial small subunit ribosomal RNA
Source: RNAcentral
CUUGACAUCCAGCGAACUUGGGCAGAGGAUGCCUUGGUGCCUUCGGGAACGCUGAGACAGGUGCUGCAUGGCUGUCGUCAGCUCGUGUUGUGAAAUGUUGGGUUAAGUCCGCAACGAGCGCAACCCUUAUCCUUUGUUGCCAGCGAUUCGGUCGGGAACUCAAAGGAGACUGCCGGUGAUAAACCGGAGGAAGGUGGGGAUGACGUCAAGUCAUCAUGGCCCUUACGAGUAGGGCUACACACGUGCUACAAUGGCGCAUACAAAGAGAAGCGACCUCGCGAGAGCAAGCGGACCUCAUAAAGUGCGUCGUAGUCCGGAUCGGAGUCUGCAACUCGACUCCGUGAAGUCGGAAUCGCUAGUAAUCGUGGAUCAGAAUGCCACGGUGAAUACGUUCCCGGGCCUUGUACACACCGCCCGUCACACCAUGGGAGUGGGUUGCAAAAGAAGUAGGUAGCUUAACCCUCGGGAGGGCGCUUACCACUUCGUGAUUCAUGACUGGGGUGAAGUCGUAACAAGGUAGGCGUACGUGU